GGAAGUGUGGCAGAGUCUGGUUUAUUGCACCGGUCUUGAAAACCGACGGUUCUAAAGGGCCCGUGAGUUCGAAUCUCACCGCUUCCACCA
This 90-nucleotide transfer RNA is filed under the name Synechococcaceae bacterium WB6_1A_059. Its description in RNAcentral is "tRNA-Ser". It matches the Rfam family "tRNA". Rfam says of the family: Transfer RNA (tRNA) molecules are approximately 80 nucleotides in length. Lineage: Bacteria; Bacillati; Cyanobacteriota; Cyanophyceae; Synechococcales; Synechococcaceae. The record is from RNAcentral.